CACUAUCACUGCAUAUCAUCGCCAUUACGCAAAUAAGAAUUAUUUUCAUUUAUUCAUACCUUGUGCUAUAUAACAUAGCAAAGGCUAUAUUCGAUGAUUAAUUAACCACAUUGUUGCGAGGGAUACUAUGACGAAUCUACAUCGUCUGAAAACACUCCUGAUUGCCGGUAUUGUCGCGAUACUCGCGCUAUCGCCAGCCUAUGCAAAAGAGAAAUUUAAAGUCAUCACCACGUUUACCGUUAUUGCCGACAUGGCGAAAAACGUGGCGGGCGACGCAGCGGAAGUCAGCUCGAUUACCAAACCCGGCGCUGAAAUCCAUGAGUAUCAGCCAACGCCCGGCGAUAUUAAACGAGCGCAGGGGGCACAG
RNAcentral lists this unclassified non-coding RNA (367 nucleotides) under uncultured fungus. Its description in RNAcentral is "partial internal transcribed spacer 1". The record is from RNAcentral. Lineage: Eukaryota; Fungi.